CACGGGUGAGUAACACGUAGGUGACCUACCUCUUUGUGGGGGAUAACCAGAAGAAAUUCUGGCUAAUACCGCAUAAGCUGGAAACAGGAAAGGGUGCUUCGGCAUUCGCAGAGAGAUGGGCCUGCGGGACAUUAGCUUGAUGGUGGGGUAACGGCCUACCAUGGCGACGAUGUCUAGCUGGUCUGAGAGGAUGAUCAGCCACACUGGAACUGAGACACGGUCCAGACUCC
RNAcentral lists this ribosomal RNA (230 nucleotides) under uncultured bacterium. RNAcentral's name for it is "partial 16S ribosomal RNA". It matches the Rfam family "Bacterial small subunit ribosomal RNA", at positions 102 to 339 of the family's 1533-position model. The record is from RNAcentral.